This 465-nucleotide ribosomal RNA is filed under the name uncultured bacterium. RNAcentral describes it as "bacterial SSU rRNA". It matches the Rfam family "Bacterial small subunit ribosomal RNA", at positions 28 to 507 of the family's 1533-position model. The record is from RNAcentral.
GACGAACGCUGGCGGCGUGCCUAACACAUGCAAGUCGAGCGAGGAGAGUUCCUUCGGGAACAAACCUAGCGGCGGACGGGUGAGUAACACGUGGGCAACCUGCCUUGUAGAGGGGAAUAGCUUCCGAAAGGAAAGAUUAAUACCGCAUAACAUUACAGUUUCGCAUGAAAUAGUAAUUAAAGGAGCAAUCUGCUACAAGAUGGGGCCCGCGGCGCAUUAGCUAGUUGGUGAGGUAACGGCUCACCAAGGCGACGAUGCGUAGCCGACUUGGGAGGGUGAUCGGCCACAUUGGGACUGAGACACGGCCCAGACUCCUACGGGAGGCAGCAGUGGGGAAUAUUGCACAAUGGGGGAAACCCUGAUGCAGCAACGCCGCGUGAGUGAUGAAGGUUUUCGGAUCGUAAAGCUCUGUCUUCGGGGACGAUAAUGACGGUACCCGAGGAGGAAGCCACGGCUAACUACGUG